GACCUUAUUAUCAGCUCUAACUCAACUUACACAUGCAAGUCUCCGCAACCCAGUGAAUAUGCCCUCAAUCCCCCCACCCGGGGACGAGGAGCGGGCAUCAGGCACAAACAUUAGCCCAAGACGCCUAGCCAAGCCACACCCCCAAGGGAAUUCAGCAGUGAUAAACAUUAAGCCAUAAGUGAAAACUUGACUCAGUUAGUGUUAAGAGGGCCGGUAAAACUCGUGCCAGCCACCGCGGUUAGACGAGAGGCCCUAGUUGAUAUUACAACGGCGUAAAGGGUGGUUAAGGAUAAACAAAAAUAAAGUCAAAUGGCCCCUUGGCCGUCAUACGCUUCUAGGAGUCCGAAGCCCUAAUACGAAAGUAACUUUAAUAAACCCACCUGACCCCACGAAAGCUGAGAAACAAACUGGGAUUAGAUACCCCACUAUGCUCAGCCGUAAACUCAGACAUCCAGCUACAAUUAGAUGUCCGCCAGGGUACUACGAGCAUUAGCUUAAAACCCAAAGGACCUGACGGUGUCUCAGACCCCCCUAGAGGAGCCUGUUCUAGAACCGAUAACCCCCGUUCAACCUCACCACUUCUAGCCACCCCAGCCUAUAUACCGCCGUCGUCAGCUUACCCUGUG
Molecule: ribosomal RNA, 626 nt
Filed under: Cyprinus carpio (common carp)
Lineage: Eukaryota; Metazoa; Chordata; Actinopteri; Cypriniformes; Cyprinidae
Description: partial small subunit ribosomal RNA
Rfam family: Bacterial small subunit ribosomal RNA
Source: RNAcentral